Molecule: ribosomal RNA, 253 nt
Filed under: uncultured bacterium
Lineage: Bacteria
Description: partial 16S ribosomal RNA
Rfam family: Bacterial small subunit ribosomal RNA
Source: RNAcentral
UACGGGGGGUGCAAGCGUUAUUCGGAAUUAUUGGGCGUAAAGGGCGCGUAGGCGGUUGAAUAAGUCAGAUGUGAAAGCCCUUGGCUUAACCAAGGAAGUGCAUUUGAUACUAUUUGACUUGAGUAUGGGAGAGGGAAGUGGAAUUCCUGGUGUAGAGGUGAAAUUCGUAGAUAUCAGGAGGAACACCGGUGGCGAAAGCGACUUCCUGGACCAAUACUGACGCUGAGGCGCGACAGCGUGGGGAGCAAACCGG